GCCCACAUAGCUCAGUUGGUAGAGCACUUCCUUGGUAAGGAAGAGGUCACCGGUUCAAAUCCGGUUGUGGGCUCCA
Molecule: transfer RNA, 76 nt
Filed under: Lentisphaerae bacterium GWF2_38_69
Lineage: Bacteria; Pseudomonadati; Lentisphaerota
Also listed under: 2 other names
Description: tRNA-Thr
Rfam family: tRNA
About the family: Transfer RNA (tRNA) molecules are approximately 80 nucleotides in length. Their secondary structure includes four short double-helical elements and three loops (D, anti-codon, and T loops). Further hydrogen bonds mediate the characteristic L-shaped molecular structure. tRNAs have two regions of fundamental functional importance: the anti-codon, which is responsible for specific mRNA codon recognition, and the 3' end, to which the tRNAs corresponding amino acid is attached (by aminoacyl-tRNA synthetases). tRNAs cope with the degeneracy of the genetic code in two manners: having more than one tRNA (with a specific anti-codon) for a particular amino acid; and 'wobble' base-pairing, i.e. permitting non-standard base-pairing at the 3rd anti-codon position.
Source: RNAcentral